RNAcentral lists this ribosomal RNA (492 nucleotides) under uncultured bacterium. RNAcentral's name for it is "partial 16S ribosomal RNA". It matches the Rfam family "Bacterial small subunit ribosomal RNA", at positions 29 to 507 of the family's 1533-position model. The record is from RNAcentral.
AGUGAACGCUGGCGGUAGGCCCAACACAUGCAAGUCGAACGGCAGCACAGUAAGAGCUUGCUCUUACGGGUGGCGAGUGGCGGACGGGUGAGGAAUACAUCGGAAUCUACUUUUUCGUGGGGGAUAACGUAGGGAAACUUACGCUAAUACCGCAUACGACCUACGGGUGAAAGCAGGGGAUCUUCGGACCUUGCGCGAUUGAAUGAGCCGAUGUCGGAUUAGCUAGUUGGUGGGGUAAAGGCCCACCAAGGCGACGAUCCGUAGCUGGUCUGAGAGGAUGAUCAGCCACACUGGAACUGAGACACGGUCCAGACUCCUACGGGAGGCAGCAGUGGGGAAUAUUGGACAAUGGGCGCAAGCCUGAUCCAGCCAUACCGCGUGGGUGAAGAAGGCCUUCGGGUUGUAAAGCCCUUUUGUUGGGAAAGAAAAGCAGCAGGUUAAUACCCCGCUGUUCUGACGGUACCCAAAGAAUAAGCACCGGCUAACUUCGUG